GGAAGACAUGGGGAAUGCGAACGCCAGAGAAGACGGCGCCGCCGGAGACGGCGACGGCGACGGUCAGGUAUCGGGAAGAAGAUCUAAUGUUGAAUCUGGAAUAGUAGAAGAUCACCACGCUCUGAACUCGCGAGUGCCUUCGGCUGACUUGAUGGUCAAUUCUCCUCCGCAGAGUCCACAUCGUUCAGCUUCACCUCUCUUGUUCGGACCUCAGGUGCCAGUAGUUCCUUUACAAGGAGGGGAUGGCAAUCCUGUUAGCAAUCAAAUGUGGGGCAAUGAAUGCGAGGAUGCCUCUGAUCAUUCACUAGAGGGCGGCAUACCUACUUUGAUAACAUGGAGUUAUGGUGGUAAUAACGUUGCUAUCCAAGGAUCUUGGGACAACUGGACAUCAAGGAAAAUUCUCCAAAGAUCAGGCAAGGACUAUACCGUUCUUUUGGUCCUUCCAUCGGGUAUAUAUCAUUACAAAUUCAUUGUGGAUGGGGAAGUUAGAUAUAUUCCAGAACUUCCAUGUGUAGCAGAUGAGACAGGCGUUGUCUUUAAUCUUCUUGAUGUUAAUGACAAUGUUCCAGAGAACCUCGAAAGUGUUGCAGAGUUUGAGGCCCCACCAUCACCUGACUCUAGCUAUGCGCAAGCUUUGAUGGGAGAGGAGGAUUUUGAAAAGGAGCCAGUGGCAGUUCCACCGCAACUUCAUCUAACUGUUCUUGGUUCUGAAAACUCAGAAGAAGCACCUUCUUCUCCAAAACCCCAGCACGUAGUACUUAAUCACCUCUUUAUAGAGAAAGGAUGGGCUUCUCAAUCCGUUGUUGCUCUUGGUUUAACGCAUAGAUUCCAGUCCAAAUAUGUCACAGUUGUUCUCUACAAGCCACUGAAGAGGUGACCACUCCGUGUUUACAAUCAAAUCUUUCUAGAGCUUUCUCAGUGUGGCUGCUUUAAGAUUUCCACUGUUUAUAGACCUGCUCAAUGUUCAAACUUCCUUUAACCUCUCCUCUGUUGUACAAUAGAGCAAUGCAUUUUCUC
This 1017-nucleotide unclassified non-coding RNA is filed under the name Hevea brasiliensis (rubber tree). The record is from RNAcentral. Lineage: Eukaryota; Viridiplantae; Streptophyta; Magnoliopsida; Malpighiales; Euphorbiaceae.